ACAUUUUAGUAUUUAAUUAUGGUACAUCUAUAUAGGUGUCUAGGUAUUUAACACAUGCAAGUUGAAUGAUUUUAUAAAUCAUGGCGUACGGGUCAGUAAUGUUGAGGAUGGGCCUUAGAGAUCAUAGAAAUAAUGAUUAAUCAAAGGAAUAAUUUCCGCUCUAAGAUAAUCUCAAUACCCAGUUAGGUAGUUGGAAUGGUAAAAGCUUUACAAGCCGAUCAUGGGGAAUGUUGAAUGAAAGUUUUUAACAUGAUAGUGGAAAUGAAAAAUUCCAAAAUGUCUUUAGACAUGCAGCAGUGAAGAAUAUUGGUCAAUGCGCUAAAGCGUGAACCAGUGACCUAGAUUUUAUUACAUCAGCAAUGUAAUAAAUAAUAAUUUUAAAUGAUGAUUAAAAUUAAUAUAAGUCCUGUCUAAUACCCGUGCCAGCAGAAGCGGUUAUACGGGAAGGGCGACCUAUUGGAGAUAUAAGUGGGUGUAAAGGGUACGUAGCCGGUUCUUAAUAUGAUAAGAACUUGAAUUUGAUAGACGUAAACAACAAUACCUUAAGGAGUGCUGAUAUGCUAUCCUUUAUACGGGAGUGCUCAGUGGCGAAGGCAUGUUACCAGGUACAAAUUGACGGCCAGAGUACGAAGGCAUUGGACUAAAAAGGGAUUAGAGACCCCAGUAUUCUUUGCUGUAAACGAUGCAAACCAAUUGUUAGUUAUUUAUUGCUAAUGAUGAUUUUAACAAGUUAAGUUUGCCUCCUGUAGAGUAUGGCUACAUUGCUGGAAUACAAAUAAUUAGACGGCUUUAAAGCAAACGGAGUGGAGCAUGUUAUUUAAUUCGAUUAUCCGCGAAAAAUCUUACCACAUCUCGAAUACUUAAAUAUAUUUUAUUAUAUUUUUGUACAGGUAUUGCAUGGUUGUCGUCAGUUAGUGCUAGUGAGGCGUAAGGUUAAUUCCACUUUAUAAAAACUAACGCGAUCCUAGUUAUAAAUUUAGACUUUAUAACACCUAGAUAUUUUAUCUAAACCAUAUAUAUUAAUUUAUAUAUACCCUAUAUUUUAUUUUUCGCAUUUAUUAUGUGCUCUGAUGAGGGGUAGGUUUCUUAGGAUUAUGACAAAUCAUGAUGAUCCUUAUGAUGUGGGCUAUAGACGUGCUACAAGAAUAAUGAACAAAAUGAUGCAAAUUCGUAAGAAUGAGCUAAACAUUAAACAUUAUUGGUAACGGAUUGUAGGCUGGAAUUCCCCUAAAUGAAGAAGGAAUUUCGAGUAAUCGUGAAUUAGAAUGUCACGGUGAAGACAAAUCUUUAAAGUGUACUAACUGCUCAUCACAGGAUGAAAGAUCUUGUGGGAUGAAAUUGGGCCCGAUAAGUAAACUAUAUCUUAAGGUCAUACACUUAUUUAUAUAAGUAAUGUUUACAAGUCAGGAGGUAUGAAUUCUACGGAUUGAUUAUUUUGAAGUUGAAACAAGGUUGUGCUAGGGGAACCUGGCGCAGAUAGUUAAUAUUA
This 1489-nucleotide non-coding RNA is filed under the name Trichosporon inkin. Its description in RNAcentral is "SSU rRNA". It matches the Rfam family "Bacterial small subunit ribosomal RNA". The record is from RNAcentral. Lineage: Eukaryota; Fungi; Basidiomycota; Tremellomycetes; Trichosporonales; Trichosporonaceae.